ACUUAGAUAUGCAGCUGAAGGGGUUCCUGGGUUUAUUUCUCCUGAGAACUGGCAUGGGCUCUGAGUUUUGCCAUUCCUGGCUUCGGUCCUAGCAUUCUAAGCUGCCUGACCUUGGGCAUUUGUCAACCUGUCUGAACCUUAGUAUCCUUUCCUCUCUGUAGAGUGGGAAGAGAUGGAGUCUGUGAAGCGCCUGGUGCAAGCUGUACUAAUACACCUAACAAUGAGCUCCUCCCUCCCUGCCUCCUUGCCUCCCUGCCUCCCUCCCUCCCAUGGGGAGGCCAGAAUCUGGCUGCUUGCUGCCACCUAGUGGCUCUUUGGGGUCAUCUUCCCUCAUAGGAACCACAGAUCCAGUAGCCUAGAGCAGAAAGGGAAGGAAGAUUCAACCUAGGGGUGUUUAUGUUUACCGUGUGUCUGGCACUCGUGGAGAUAGUGCAUGGGACUACAUAAGUAAGACAGCAUCGAAGAGGUGUCUUGGAGUGUGGUUAGGAGCGAGGGCUCUGGAGUCAGACAAGCUACAGACUAGCUGAGUGACCUUGGGGCAAGUUAUUUCAUUUCACUGUGCCUCAGUUUCCCCAUCUGUAAAAUUUGUAUAACGAUAACCUACCUCGCGUAUCUACAGUGCCUAGCAUAGUGCCCCACAUAAAUGUGUUCACUAAAUGUACGUCGUUAUUAAUCAUAGGAGCUUGCAGUCUCACUAGGGCCGACUGGAAAACUAUUAAGUGAUCCUCAAAGCCACAGGCGCUCAGAGACUGGAGAGAUCAAGGUGCAGAAGACUCAGGGAAGGGUAGUCUUGAGGGCAGCUGCCCUUAAAGGGUGGGCAGCAUUUAGUGAAGCAGAUGGAGGGAAGUUGACCGGCAUCCCAGAUGUGGGGAAGAGGCCAGCAGCCUAGUCUCCUCCACGGCCCAGCCCCCACUGUCUUACCAAAGAACAGCUUUAACCAAACCCCUCUGGGCAUCAGGACCACCGCUACACCUCUUGCCAGGCUGCAGAGCUAUGCAGUCUGGAGGCCCAGCUCUCGUCAGAAGCUGGGGCAUGGGCUCUAGGGGAACCUGGGGUCGGAUGAGCCCCUGAGCAGGUGGCAGGUGCCUACAUGUCCCAGUGUGGGUUCGUGUUUGUGUAAGGCUCUCCUGCCCCCACCCCCAGGCACCAGCACAGCCUUUGCCUUCACUCUCUCCCCUCCCCUGUCCCUGGGGGAUUGAAUAAGGGAAGCUGGGGUUGGCCGUCCUUCUAGCUUGAUUGGCAGCACCAGCGCUGUGACGGAAGGAUGUGUUGUGCCAGCAGCCUCUUGGCCGCAGGACAAAUGCACAUUUAAAGAGAUAACCUUUUUGUGUCCUGGCUGGGAAAGAGGUCAGUGCAGAUGUUUUUGGGUCCAGGUGUUGGCUGUGAGUUUUCCUUUCCUCUAUGAACUGACCUCAGCAGCCUAGUGGACAGUCACCUCCUUACAGGUGUAAAAUCCAAGCCAGUCAACCAUAGCAGGUGGCAGACUUAGCUGCCUUCCCUGUGGUGUGGUGCAGACCAUGACCCUUGAGGCAAAUGGGUGAGCUGGCCCCACCUCGCCUGCAGCCUCCUCUGAGGCUCCCCUGCUGCCUCCCCACUAGCCGCCCUGAAUCACCUACUUCCCAGCACCCCCAGCCCGUGGUUCUCAUCCCGUCUUCCAUCUGUGAUCUGGCACUCAUUCUUCCAGAGCCAAAGAGGAAUCCCCUCUUCUCAUGCAGAAGACAGUCAUGCCUGCCCUUGUGUGUCAAAAGCAUUGCAUUUAUGCCCUGUUAGAACCCCUGUCACAAGCAUGGUGCCUGAACACAGGUGCCUCUGUGGUCUCUUCUCAUCCUCACCCAAUGGGUACUAUGCUAGCCCCAUUUUACAGAUGAGGCAAACGUGGCACGGAGAGCUCCACUAACUUGCCUGGAUGAUUCAUGCAUCCAUCCAUUCACUUAGCAAAUACUUAUUUAACUUCUGCUUUGUGCUAGCUAGUGGGGAUGUGGCAGUGGGGAUGUGGCAGUGGGGAUGUGGCAUGGGGAUGUGGCAGUGAGGAAGACGACAGACAGGCUCCUUGGGAAGCAGAGUAAGCAAGUGAGGAGACAGGCGGGCGUGGUGAGGCUGCGCAGGCGCUGAGAUCGAGUUGCUGGGGGAGGCCUCUCUGAGGUGGUGGGGCUUGAGUUGAUUCUGAAGGACAAGAAGAGCCAGCCCUGGGGGUCUGGGGGAAUGGUAUUCCAAGUGGAGGGAACAGCAGGUGCUGGGGGCAGGGAGGUGACAGAUGUGUCCCAGGUACAGAGAACAGAGUGAACAGGAGAGAGGAGGGGGCCAGGGCAUUCCAGGUGGGGAAAGGCAGCAGGUGGCCCGGUGGUACCACCUCUUUUGGCGAGGGCUUUGGACCUUACCCGGUGUGAUGGGAAGUCCUGGAAGUGUGUUAAGCAGGGGAGUCUUUUUGAUCAGAUUUUCUAGAAAACGACAGUGGGCUGCUGUGGACCUCAGAGAGGCAUGUGUGAUAGUGUGUUUCGGGCUCUUCCCACGAAACUCGGCUCUGCACAGUGAGACCUCAUUUCCUGGUUCUGUUUGAUGAGUGAGCGAAUGCACAUGGCAGGCGGUCAUGUCCCUUGGGCCUGUGAGGUGAGGAAGGGUCCCUGAGCCCUGUGGGGAUAGAGACUCUUCCACCAUUCUGACAUGAUCCGAGUUAGCAGGCAGCACUGUCCAGAUGGAAAUGGGGAUGGGAGACAGACCAUCUCUCUCAGCGGGUCCAGCCAUGAGCCAGCAGACUGUUUCCCAUUGGCCCCCAUCUUUCAGAGUGGGAUGAUCUUUCUAACAAAGAAACCCACACAGGAAUUUGGUGUGUGUGUGCGUGUGUGUAUUACCUUUCAGGAUGGAAGCCGGUGGGGUGUGGAGCGAGGGGCUGGCAUGGUUGGCCUCGCCCAGCUCCUGUACCCUGUGUGUGCCUAGAGCAUGCACCUGCUCCCUCUGCUGGGCUGAGACUCAGAGGACACUGGGCAGGUGGUGGGGGGUAGGAGGGUCGUGGCUGUGUUGGGUGGGGCCACAUCAGGUGUGUGGCACAGAGGGGGAGGGGGAGGGGGAGUGGCAGUGUGUUCCACCCAGCAGUCCCUGUGUUUGACCUCUUCGUACACUCUCUGUUGUAUUAGCUCUCAGAAUGAAAACGAGAUACUUUUCCCCAAUCUAUGUACGUUGUUCUUAAGAAUGUACACUUGGCCAGGUGCAGUGGCUCACGCCUGUAAUCCCAGCACUUUGGGAGGCCAAUGUGGGUGGAUCACCUGAGGUCAGGAGUUCAAGACCAGCCUGGCCAACAUGGCGAAACCCCAUCUCUACUAAAAAUACAAAAAUCACCUGGGUGUGGUGGUGGGCACCUGUAAUCCCAGCUACUAGGGAGACUGAGGCAGGAGAAUUGCUUGAACCCAGGAGGUGGAGGUUGCAGUGAGCCGAGACCGCGCCACUGCACUCCAGCCUGGGCAACAAGAACGAAACUCUGUCUCCCAAAG
RNAcentral lists this long non-coding RNA (3485 nucleotides) under Homo sapiens (human). RNAcentral describes it as "non-protein coding lnc-TEAD4-1:1". Lineage: Eukaryota; Metazoa; Chordata; Mammalia; Primates; Hominidae. The record is from RNAcentral.